UGGCUUUUGUCUCUGGCCUGAACUGCAGGGAUCUGGCUGUGCCUAGAUGUGAAGAGGCAAUGCAGUAAGGAAGAGGGCACAUGUGUGUGCAAGCUUGGGCAGGUGCACAUGGAGCCAGCAAGGAUUCUCCAGGGAGCCACCAUCACCCUAAUAUCCAGCGGGAGCUGGUCUGAGCUACGUUACUCCCAAGCCCUGCUAGCUGGCUCCCCAGGAAAGCAAGAACUUACACAAAUGACUCUUGGGCGUUUGUGGAAGAGCUGAGUCCUCAUUACUUCCUGUGGGCCUUUCUGAGCAUAAUAAGAUCCUCUCUCUUGCAUCAGCCAACCCAGGAGCUGCUGAUAAACCAUGGCACAAGCUUGAGCCAGAGUUGACCUUAACCAUUGACCGCCCACUGAGCACUCGUCGUGUGCUAAGCAUUCUCUCAUUAAACCCUCACCACAGUCCUGCAAGGUAGGUGCUGUGUUACCCCAUUUUACAGAUGAGGGGAACCAAGGCCUACAGUUCCACAGCAGAUAAUCUGCAGCAGAAAAAUUCAACCUCCAGGCCAUUCUGAAUGUAGUUAUUGGUGACAGAAGAAAAUAUUUGUCUCGGAAAGCCAUCCGUGGAGACCAUGAAACCAUUCCUACAUCUUGCCUUGAGCUAGCAGAAUGAAAUUGCCCAGAGUGGAAAAAGUCAAAAUGUUCUUUUUGAGAGCUUGGCUUUCCUGUGGGUGAUUUUCCAAGAGAUCUACCUCCAUCCACUGACAAGCCAUCCUGCCAUGUGCUAGACAUCGGUGUGAAGGAGAAGAACACAGAGACCAUUCCUGAACAAGGAAGCUGUGCAGGAGAAUGGAACAGGGGCCAAGACUGUACUUCAGAGAGAUGGGAGGCCAGGUAAUGGCCGAACUACAGUUCUCUAAGAUGUCUUCUCUCUUGGACCUUACUGGGACUGGAAAGGCACCUAAAGUUUUCCAGCACAGGAAAAAUUGAGACAUUGUGACCAGACCUGGUAGCAGCUAGAAGAGUUUACUAGACCCUUGGAUUCCAAGAACAGAGGCAUUCACUCUGCAGUAUGCUCAAAGACAGAGCGGGAAGUGUUGUCAGAAACAGGCAACAAAGCUAUUCCCAAUUCAUUACCUCCAGGGCUCAGGGUUCCCAGCAGGAGAAUGGAUCUCUAGAAGCAGUCUGUGGAGGCCAUGUCGUCUUCACUGAGCUCUUCAAAUAGCAUCAUGUGUGUUCUUUAACUGCAUUGCGCCCAAUGUCUGAAGUCAGUGGUGUUCACUGAUUAAGAACUGUUAUUUUUACAACUCACAGACACGUGUACCCAGAUGCUUUCUUGACAAGCCCCAAAUUGCCUGAUUAUGCAGCCCCAGAAUCUAUGCCAGUCUAAGAAAGGACCGCGACUCAAGGCCCAUUUUACACUGGCAUCUGGGAGCCCAGGAGGCCUCUGUGGAUCAUGGCUCCCCACUUCAUAGUCUAAACAGAAGUGCCUUGUCUGCUGUGUAUUGACUACAGUUUCCCCAAGCUAAGUCAGUGCUGUUGGCAGUGACUUGAAGAAACAGGCAACAAUCAAAGUGACUUGAAAAAACAUGCCAAUCAAGUGGUGACAAAGAAGAAUGAAGAACGGAUGAAAGCAGAUAGGAUAAAGGUGUGGUGGUGACAGCGGCAGGCACAUUGAACUCACAGUGGGGAAGGACAUGGUGGUGGGUGGUGCUCAGGGAGCUGCUGUCAGCAUAGCUCUCCUCCUCAUGGGUGUGUGGUUUGGGAGAUUGAGGUUCAGUUUUCCUAUUUGUAAAAAAAUGAAGGCACUGCGAGUGUGUCUCCAUCACAAGUUAGUAAGUUACUUACUUUGCUUGUUUGGUUGGUUUUGUUCUCCAGAGUAGGGUUUCUCUGGGUAGUCCUGGCUGUCCUGACACUAA
Long non-coding RNA from Mus caroli (Ryukyu mouse), 1897 nucleotides. RefSeq lists it as uncharacterized. Lineage: Eukaryota; Metazoa; Chordata; Mammalia; Rodentia; Muridae. The record is from RefSeq and is a predicted model, not a curated record.